AGCCUUUCGAAAGAAAGAUUAAUACCCGAUGGCAUAGUUCUUCCGCAUGGUAGAACUAUUAAAGAAUUUCGGUCAUCGAUGGGGAUGCGUUCCAUUAGGUUGUUGGCGGGGUAACGGCCCACCAAGCAUUAGGUAGUAGGCGGGGUAACGGCCCACCUAGCCGACGAUGGAUAGGGGUUCUGAGAGGAAGGUCCCCCACAUUGGAACUGAGACACGGUCCAAACUCCUACGGGAGGCAGCAGUGAGGAAUAUUGGUCAAUGGACGAGAGUCUGAACCAGCCAAGUAGCGUGAAGGAUGACUGCCCUAUGGGUUGUAAACUUCUUUUAUACGGGAAUAAAGUGAGGCACGUGUGCCUUUUUGUAUGUACUUUAUGAAUAAGGAUCGGCUAACUCCGUGCCAGCAGCCGCGGUAAUACGGAGGAUCCGAGCGUUAUCCGGAUUUAUUGGGUUUAAAGGGAGCGUAGAUGGAUGUUUAAGUCAGUUGUGAAAGUUUGCGGCUCAACCGUAAAAUUGCAGUUGAUACUGGGUGUCUUGAGUACAGUAGAGGCAGGCGGAAUUCGUGGUGUAGCGGUGA
This 574-nucleotide non-coding RNA is filed under the name Phocaeicola plebeius CAG:211. RNAcentral describes it as "Bacteroides plebeius CAG:211 Bacterial small subunit ribosomal RNA". It matches the Rfam family "Bacterial small subunit ribosomal RNA", at positions 145 to 684 of the family's 1533-position model. Lineage: Bacteria; Pseudomonadati; Bacteroidota; Bacteroidia; Bacteroidales; Bacteroidaceae. The record is from Rfam by way of RNAcentral.